RNAcentral lists this long non-coding RNA (672 nucleotides) under Pan troglodytes (chimpanzee). Its description in RNAcentral is "lincRNA". The record is from RNAcentral. Lineage: Eukaryota; Metazoa; Chordata; Mammalia; Primates; Hominidae.
GGAAUAGCGUCAUCAGUUCUAUAAGAGAGCGUGUGCCGAAGGCCUCGGCCUUUCACAUUCGGGAAGCGUCGGGAUUAGGUGAAAGUACGUAGUUGUCUUUCGUAAGUUAAAAUAAUAAUUGGGCCGAAACUUACUGCCUUACCUAAAAGGCAGCGCAGUCAGGAUAUUGGUAGGUCGGGGGCGGCUUUGGAAACCCUUAAGUUUACAAGCAUGCGCGGACUUUAGUGCUCAUUAGGUCGCCGGGCGUCCACGUGCAGCCCUGGACCCUGAACCCCGGCGUGCGUGGGCCGUGGGCCCUCGGGGAAAGGUUCCGUGCACUCGGGGACUCCGGUGAAGCCUGUUAAGCCGUCUGUGUCAUGUGGCCAUCUUGAGUCUACUCUGUCGCUCUUGUGCCCUAGCACCCCGAGAACCGUCAGUUUGAGCCAGAUGGAAGCUGAGCUGAACACAUUACGAUGGAUGAUGGAAACAUAAGACUAUCAAGAAAUCGAAGUGGUAGUGGGCGAAGUUUAUUCAGCAUCCGGCAAUGGACUUAUCGUAGUUGGGGAAACGGGUGUUCCGAAUAAUAUCCUGGAAGUUAUCAGGACACCUAUUUUAAAUAUAGGCCUGAAUUUUGUAAAGUAAUAUUUAAGGUGGUCCGUGAUAAUUAAAUAAAAUGCUUAAUUCAUGUGGCUA